RNA transcript from Boleophthalmus pectinirostris (great blue-spotted mudskipper), 3988 nucleotides. It is a transcript of the gene named solute carrier family 1 member 4, with no coding region annotated. NCBI's taxonomy places the organism in Eukaryota, Metazoa, Chordata, Actinopteri, Gobiiformes, Gobiidae. The transcript has 9 exons. The record is from RefSeq and is a predicted model, not a curated record.
GGCUCUCCGCUCCUCAAACGUGGGUUGAGCGUGAAAGAGAGAGCAUCUGCGUCCGCGUGCACCUCCCCCGAAGAACAGACAACACACACAAAAAAAUAAAUAAAAAUGGAGAAGAAAAUGGAGUUAAACGGCCACGCGCUGCCGGAGUCCAAAUCCACGGAACCGAUUUUGGAGAAGAUUACGCGCGGGAAAAAAGUGGGGGAUUUUUUACGCAAGAACAUGCUGGUGAUCCUGACCGUUUCUGGGGUGCUCGUGGGCGUGGGACUGGGCAUGGCGGUGCGCACGAUGUCCCUCACCAAGGCGCAGAUGACAUACUUCGCGUUCCCCGGCGAGAUGUUGCUGCGCAUGCUGAAGAUGAUCAUCCUGCCGCUGGUGGUGUGCAGCCUGGUGUCCGGAGCCGCGAGCCUGGACACGCGCUCGCUGGGGAAGCUGGGGGGCAUCGCCGUGGGGUACUUCCUCGUGACCACGCUGAUCGCCUCGGGGAUCGGGGUGACGCUCGCCUUCAUCAUCAAACCCGGGGUGGGCGCCGGGGCUCUGAACACCAACCACCUGAGUCUGGAGAGCGUCAGCAGCGACAAGGAGACGGCGGACUCCUUCUUGGAUUUGGCCAGAAACCUCUUCCCGUCCAACUUGGUGGCCGCUGCUUUCCGCUCGUAUGCCACGGAUUACAAGAUGGUGGCCGUCGGGAACAUGACCAACGGAACCAAGAUCUACCAGAAGGUCCCGUUCGGCACAGAGACCGACGGCAUGAACAUCCUGGGCCUGGUGCUGUUCGCCAUGGUGUUCGGCGUCGCUCUGAGGAAACUGGGCGAGGAGGGGGAGGAGCUCAUCCGCUUCUUCAACGCCUUCAACGAGGCCACCAUGGUCCUGGUCUCCUGGAUCAUGUGGUACAUCCCGUUCGGCAUCAUGUUCCUCGUGGGCAGUAAGAUCGUGGAGAUGGAGGACGUGGUUUUGUUGGUGACCAGUUUGGGGAAGUACAUCUUCGCCUCGAUCCUGGGGCACAUCAUCCACGGCGGAAUCGUGCUCCCGCUCAUCUACUUCGGAUUCACUCGGAAAAACCCCUACAGCUUCCUGUCCGGCCUCAUCACGCCCUUCACCACCGCCUUCGCCACCUGCUCCAGCUCGGCGACCCUGCCCUCCAUGAUCAAGUGCGUGGAGGAGAAUAACGGGGUGGACAAACGCAUCAGUCGCUUCAUUCUGCCCAUCGGAGCCACGGUCAACAUGGACGGAGCGGCCAUCUUCCAGUGCAUCGCCGCCGUGUUCAUCGCCCAACUCAACAACCACCAGCUCAACGCCGGAGAGAUCUUCACCAUUCUAGUGACGGCCACAGCGUCGAGUGUUGGAGCGGCCGGGAUCCCCGCUGGAGGAAUCAUCACCAUCGCCAUCAUCCUGGAGGCCAUCGGGCUGCCCACCAACGACCUCUCCCUCAUGCUCGCCGUCGACUGGAUCGUUGACCGCACCACUACAGUCGUGAACGUAGAGGGCGACGCGCUGGGAGCCGGGAUCCUGCACCACAUCAACGAGCAGGAGCAAAAGAAGCUGCAGCACCCGGAGGACCAGAGGCACCCGGAGGAGCUGCAGGAGGUGCGGGUGGAGGCCGUGGCGAACACUCAGGCCCAAGAGGAAACGUCUCCCCUCGUCACCCACCAAAACCUGAGCCAGGAGGGGGCGCCGGAGGCCAUCGAGUCUGUGCUCUGAACACUGUUUACACAAAUAAGUCCCAGUCCAGUCUCUGUGUUCUCGGGUUUGUGCGACGUGAAGGUUUGACCAGUUUUACUCCGGUGUUCUGUCAGCUCACACGUCACCAACAAAACAACCCAACAGUUUAAGGAAAUCUAAACUUUUUUUAGGCACCUUAAUCCGUGUGUCAUUUGUUUAUGUUUUUCAAAAUAAAACCAAAAAUAAGAAAACAAACAAAACAAAAAAAAAAACUAUUUUCUUCAUUAUUUGUCUCCAAAUCCAAAAUAAAAAAACAGAUAAUGAUUUUGUUUUUGAUUUUGUGUUUAAAUGAAAAAUGGAAAAAUCGGAUAAAGGCCGUUUCCCGUUUCUGUGACUUAAACUGUGAUGCCGGACAGAACCAGGACUGAACCAGGACUGAACCAGGACUGAACUAAGACUAAACCAGGACUGAUCCAGGACGGGCUAGAGGUGUGGCUGCGUCGGGUGAUCAGGACAGAGAGCGGGACCAGACCGCGGCUGAGACCAGGACUCAGAGUGGUUUAGUUUUAGUUUUAGUCCUGUUUUAGCCCAGGUUUAAUCCUGUUUUAGUCCUGUUUUAGUCCUGGUUUAGUCCAGGUUUAGUCCUGUUUUAGUCCAGGUUUAGUCCUGGUUUAGUCCAGGUUUAGUCCAGGUUUAAUCCGCCGUUAUCCGUUUUUUCCAUUACUCAUUUAAACACAAAAUUGAAAACUGAAAAAACAAAUCCUAAGUUUUUCAUUUUGAUUUUGGAAACAAACCAUGAAGAAAACUGUUUUUUCAUUUUCUUAUUUUUGUUUUAAUAUUGAAAAUGAAUAAACAAACGAUACACAGAUUCAUCUCGUCCAGGGUUGGGACUUAAUGUUCUGUUGAGAUCAUGACAUGUUUUUAUAUUCACCUGCUUUCAUUGCCUGGUCUAAAAAUCAGAUUUUUGAGAAAACAACUUGAAUUUAGACCUAAAACUAAACCAAAAACACAUCCAGCUUUUCUUUGACUUUCCUUUGAUGCAUCAGAGGCUGUGAUCACACUAAGCCCCGCCCCUGGACGAUUUGCGAAUUAAGGAAGAUGCUUUUUUUAAUUUAAACUUUUAUUUAGUGUAGAUAUAAACGGUCCAAUGAAGUUUACCUUAACCACGAGAUCAAAUACGUGAAUGAAACCACUAAACGUUUUUAUUUUAAACAAUCUUAAAUCUUGGCUUGUUCUCGUGGAGCCAAUCUCAUCUGGUUUUGUGAGAAUUUGUCCCAAUAUUAUGUUUUAAAGUGUUUAUUUUGAGCUGCUUUUAUGAUAAAUCUGUAUUUGGGGCGAGACACAUUUUGCUCAAAAACAUAAAAAAUCAGGUUCAGACCCUUUAAGUGAAACUAUUCGACUGUUCCCCCUCUGACCUUCGAGAAAAUCGCUCUUUUAUUGGAGCCGUGAAUGAGAUUUCGGACACUUCCGGGGCCCGGUGCCAGACUGGACUUGAGAUCAGACUGUGCCAAAUCUCUCUCUGGUCGUUCUGCUGUUCCCCAAAAAUCACAUGAAUCUAAACCGUGGAUCCACCGACGAGCUGCGAGUCUCAGUGACAUUAUGUAGUGUUCCCCUGGUGGUCGCUUUCUGUACUGCGUUAUUGAGGUCGGUAAUUCCUGGGUUUCGUCCAACAUUUUGAAGACUUUGACCCAAUCAGAAGAUCUAAUAUUUAGUUUUAAAUAGUUUAUCACGAUGAAAACAGUCCCAAUUUUUCAUCAUUCUGAAACCCAGGGAUACGAGCCUUGACGAGGACGAAUGGUGCGUUUGAUUAUCCAUGCGUCUCCCACUCGGAUCUCGGAUAUGACGUCAUGUCCACCCUGCAAGCGUUUUGUUAUGUUUCGUGUGUUAACCGUCUAAAUGAAUCGACAUUUAACAUCUAAUGCGCUAGCUGCUCCGUUCUGAUUUUGCGUGUCAGAGUUGAAGAAAACGUGGACGCCAACCAGAAAUAUUGUUGUUGUUUAUCUUCUUUUACGAACUCUAGGGAUGUUUAGCAACACCUGUUUAAAACAAGUUUUUGUGCAAUAUUUGCCUCUCCGCAAAACCGACCGCCGCAAAACCGACUACCCCAACGCCGACCGUUUCGACGCCGACCACCGCAACACAGACCGCCAUAACGCCGACCUCCUUGACACGACCACCACACCACGGACCGCCGGAACACUGAUCGCUUCAACACGGACCUCCACAACACCGACCGCUGCAACACUGACCAUUUCAACACGGACGGCCACAACACCGACCACCGCAACACCGACCACCGCAACAACGACUGUUUCAACACCGACCACCG